CCUACGGGUGGCUGCAGUCGAGAAUCAUUCACAAUGGGGGAAACCCUGAUGGUGCGACGCCGCGUGGGGGAAUGAAGGUCUUCGGAUUGUAAACCCCUGUCAUGUGGGAGCAAAUUAAAAAGAUAGUACCACAAGAGGAAGAGACGGCUAACUCUGUGCCAGCAGCCGCGGUAAUACAGAGGUCUCAAGCGUUGUUCGGAAUCACUGGGCGUAAGGCGUGCGUAGGCUGUUUCGUAAGUCGUGUGUGAAAGGCGCGGGCUCAACCCGCGGACGGCACAUGAUACUGGGAGACUAGAGUAAUGGAGGGGGAACCGGAAUUCGCGGUGUAGCAGUGAAAUGCGUAGAUAUCGAGAGGAACACUCGUGGCGAAGGCGGGUUCCUGGACAUUAACUGACGCUGAGGCACGAAGGCCAGGGGAGCGAAAGGGAUUAGAUACCCGUGUAGUC
RNAcentral lists this ribosomal RNA (446 nucleotides) under uncultured bacterium. Its description in RNAcentral is "partial 16S ribosomal RNA". It matches the Rfam family "Bacterial small subunit ribosomal RNA", at positions 338 to 795 of the family's 1533-position model. The record is from RNAcentral.